This 422-nucleotide long non-coding RNA is filed under the name Citrus sinensis (sweet orange). Its description in RNAcentral is "long non-coding RNA (CSIN_LNC005372)". Lineage: Eukaryota; Viridiplantae; Streptophyta; Magnoliopsida; Sapindales; Rutaceae. The record is from RNAcentral.
AAAACAUUUCAACUUACAAUUUCCAUUUCGAUCUUUUUGCUUUGCUUUUUGCUUUCAUCAAUCAAUCAUUCAUUCAUUCACUCGCCUUCCCAAUCACAGCAAAAGCUAACUUCUGUAGCCCCCAAGCAAUUCCAGGUACAUUCUUUACAUUUUUCGUUUCUUCUUCUUGUUCUUUUUGUUGUUUUGUUUAAUAAUUACAAGUAUUUAUUUUUUAGGGUUUCUAGAAUUGAUCAUGUGAAGGUGAAAAGUGAUGAUGAUCAAGUAUCAACUUACAUUACGGUGUACAGGAUCACUAUGGAUUUUGAAAGAAUAAUGACCUAUUUUAUAUAAUAUAAAUGUUACCACAGUUUCUGCUUUCUAUUUUCAAAAAUUAUAGAACAUUCUGUUUAGCUGUUUCUAAAAAACUUAUUUCUUGCGGUGAG